This 301-nucleotide ribosomal RNA is filed under the name uncultured bacterium. Its description in RNAcentral is "partial 16S ribosomal RNA". It matches the Rfam family "Bacterial small subunit ribosomal RNA", at positions 509 to 807 of the family's 1533-position model. The record is from RNAcentral.
CAGCAGCCGCGGUAAUACGUAGGGUGCGAGCGUUAAUCGGAAUUACUGGGCGUAAAGCGUGCGCAGGCGGUUCGUUAAGACAGAUGUGAAAUCCCCGGGCUUAACCUGGGGACUGCGCUUAAUACAGGCAGUCUAGAGUGAGGAAGAGGGUUGUGGAAUUCCCAGUGUAGAGGUGAAAUUCGUAGAUAUUGGCAAGAACACCAGUGGCGAAGGCGGCUCACUGGACCGACACCGACGCUGAGGCGCGAAAGCGUGGGGAGCAAACAGGAUUAGAUACCCCCGUAGUCCCUGUCUCUUAUAC